GCCUCAAUAGCUCAGUUGGUAGAGCGGCUGAUUCGUAAUCAGCAGGUCGGGAGUUCAAUCCUCUCUUGAGGCU
Molecule: transfer RNA, 73 nt
Filed under: uncultured archaeon
Lineage: Archaea
Description: tRNA-Thr(cgt)
Rfam family: tRNA
About the family: Transfer RNA (tRNA) molecules are approximately 80 nucleotides in length. Their secondary structure includes four short double-helical elements and three loops (D, anti-codon, and T loops). Further hydrogen bonds mediate the characteristic L-shaped molecular structure. tRNAs have two regions of fundamental functional importance: the anti-codon, which is responsible for specific mRNA codon recognition, and the 3' end, to which the tRNAs corresponding amino acid is attached (by aminoacyl-tRNA synthetases). tRNAs cope with the degeneracy of the genetic code in two manners: having more than one tRNA (with a specific anti-codon) for a particular amino acid; and 'wobble' base-pairing, i.e. permitting non-standard base-pairing at the 3rd anti-codon position.
Source: RNAcentral